This 508-nucleotide ribosomal RNA is filed under the name uncultured bacterium. RNAcentral describes it as "bacterial SSU rRNA". It matches the Rfam family "Bacterial small subunit ribosomal RNA", at positions 8 to 526 of the family's 1533-position model. The record is from RNAcentral.
AGAGUUUGAUCAUGGCUCAGAAUGAACGUUGGCGGCGUGGAUUAGGCAUGCGAGUCGAGCGAGAACCCCGCAAGGGGGGAAAGCGGCAAACGGCGUAGUAAGGCGUAGGCGACGUGCCCCCAGGUCUGGGAUAGCUAUGGGAAACCGUAGGUAAUACCGGAUGACCCUGCCGGGAUUGAAAGCCGGCAGGUAAAGGUGUGAUUCCGCCCGGGGAGCGGCUUGCGUGGUAUUAGCUUGUUGGUGAGGUAACGGCUCACCAAGGCGACGAUGCCUAGGGGGUGUGAGAGCACGACCCCCACGACUGGGACUGAGAUACUGCCCAGACACCUACGGGUGGCUGCAGUCGAGAAUCUUCGGCAAUGGGCGAAAGCCUGACCGAGCGACGCCGCGUGUGGGAUGAAGGCCUUCGGGUUGUAUAGCACUGUCGAGGGGGAGGAAAGCCCGCAAGGGCCUGACCUAUCCCUGGAGGAAGCACGGGCUAAGUUCGUGCCAGCCGCCGCGGUAAUAC